ACGGAAGGCAGCAGUGGGGAAUAUUGCACAAUGGGCGCAAGCCUGAUGCAGCGACGCCGCGUGGGGGAUGAAGGCCUUCGGGUUGUAAACUCCUUUCGCUAUCGACGAAGCCUUCGGGUGACGGUAGGUAGAUAAGAAGCACCGGCUAACUACGUGCCAGCAGCCGCGGUAAUACGUAGGGUGCAAGCGUUGUCCGGAAUUACUGGGCGUAAAGAGCUCGUAGGUGGUUUGUCGCGUCGUCUGUGAAAUCCCGGGGCUUAACUUCGGGCGUGCAGGCGAUACGGGCAUAACUUGAGUGCUGUAGGGGAGACUGGAAUUCCUGGUGUAGCGGUGAAAUGCGCAGAUAUCAGGAGGAACACCGAUGGCGAAGGCAGGUCUCUGGGCAGUAACUGACGCUGAGGAGCGAAAGCAUGGGUAGCGAACAGGAUUAGAUACCCUGGUA
RNAcentral lists this ribosomal RNA (442 nucleotides) under uncultured Corynebacterium sp. Its description in RNAcentral is "bacterial SSU rRNA". It matches the Rfam family "Bacterial small subunit ribosomal RNA", at positions 341 to 792 of the family's 1533-position model. The record is from RNAcentral. Lineage: Bacteria; Bacillati; Actinomycetota; Actinomycetes; Mycobacteriales; Corynebacteriaceae.